GCAGGUAGGAGGCUAUCUGUCCAGUCACUGCUAACAACACCACUCAGUUCAUCCCUGCUGUCUGCAAAGAAGUUCCGCUCAAAGGAAAGUUUGUGUGAUGCUGGAGGACAGAGAUACACAGACUCAUCUUGCCUUAACAUGGCACCUAGGAGGGAGUUUGGAUCCACAGAAUCCCCAUGUAAUGUAGUUUUGCCUCCUUUUCCUGUGGUGGUUUUACUCCUUGGCUGAGAGGUAUCCGAUAAGCUGGACAUAGGGAAAGUUAGCUCAUAUAACACAGCCUCACCAGUGGCAAACAUGAAGGGCAACUUCAUGUUACGCUUCCGUAGAUGUUCUGCUCCUUCUUCAUCUGUAAGAGGUCUUUGUGUGGAAAUAAUGUAAUCUGGUCUUCCAUUUUUAUAGACAAGGCGUGCAUUUGCCUGUACCCAGGCCCACCGAUUUUCUUUGGUUAGAAGCCUGAAGACAGUCAUUCCACUCUCACCCGUCUUCAUCAUUCGGACAUGAUUUUCAGCACAAUAAAGCAUAUCAGCUGCAUGAAUGAACUGGUAUCC
Molecule: long non-coding RNA, 548 nt
Filed under: Gallus gallus (chicken)
Lineage: Eukaryota; Metazoa; Chordata; Aves; Galliformes; Phasianidae
Source: RNAcentral